RNAcentral lists this ribosomal RNA (542 nucleotides) under bacterium enrichment culture SBR_L_B29. RNAcentral's name for it is "bacterial SSU rRNA". It matches the Rfam family "Bacterial small subunit ribosomal RNA", at positions 338 to 881 of the family's 1533-position model. The record is from RNAcentral.
CCUACGGGAGGCAGCAGUAGGGAAUAUUGGACAAUGGGCGCAAGCCUGAUCCAGCCAUCCCGCGUGAAGGAUGAAGGUCCUCUGGAUUGUAAACUUCUUUUCUUCGGGAAUAAAAACUGGGGUUCUCCUCAGCUUGAAGGUACCGAAGGAAUAAGCACCGGCUAACUCCGUGCCAGCAGCCGCGGUAAUACGGAGGGUGCAAGCGUUAUCCGGAUUCACUGGGUUUAAAGGGUGCGUAGGUGGCUUUGUAAGUCAGUGGUGAAAGCUCGGAGCUCAACUCGGAAACUGCCAUUGAUACUGCUUAGCUUGAAUCAGGUGGAGGUGGAUGGAAUGUGACAUGUAGCGGUGAAAUGCUUAGAUAUGUUACAGAACACCGAUUGGGAAGGCAGUUCACCAGCCCUGUAUUGACAUUGAGGCACGAAAGCGUGGGGAUCAAACAGGAUUAGAUACCCUGGUAGUCCACGCCCUAAACGAUGUAAACUCGACAUUAGCGAUAUACAGUUAGUGUCUCAGCGAAAGCGUUAAGUUACCACCUGGGAAGA